AUUGAAGGAUAGAAUGAAAGAAUUAAUGAAAUAUAUACUGUCUCAAUUAUAAUUAAUUAAUUUAAAUUUUUAGUUAAAAUGCUAAAUUUUAAUUAUGGGACGAUAAGACCCUAUAGAAUUUUAUAUUAAUUUUAUAAUAUAAAUUAGUUAUUUAAUUAAUAUUAUAAAAUUAAUAUUUAAUUGGGAGGAUUUAUAAAUUUAAUAAACUUUAUAUUAAUUUAAAACUUUGAUUUAAGAAAAUAUAAUUUGAUAUAAUAAUAAUAAUAAAAAAAAUAAAUUACCUUAGGGAUAACAGCGUAAUAUCUUUUUAGAGUUCAAAUUAAUAAAGAUGUUUGCGACCUCGAUGUUGAAUUAAGAUAAAUUUUAGGUGUAGAAAUUUAAAAAUUAAGUCUGUUCGACUUUUAAAAUCUUACAUGAUUUGAGUUC
RNAcentral lists this ribosomal RNA (426 nucleotides) under Euglossa intersecta. RNAcentral describes it as "partial 16S ribosomal RNA". The stretch from base 288 to 426 matches the Rfam family "Bacterial large subunit ribosomal RNA", at positions 2473 to 2612 of the family's 2925-position model. The record is from RNAcentral. Lineage: Eukaryota; Metazoa; Arthropoda; Insecta; Hymenoptera; Apidae.